Molecule: long non-coding RNA, 841 nt
Organism: Homo sapiens (human)
Lineage: Eukaryota; Metazoa; Chordata; Mammalia; Primates; Hominidae
Source: Ensembl
UCUAGUUCCCAGAAAAAUCAGAACAAGGAUACUGAAGCAGAACCAUUUCACAGAGAGCAAAGAUUUGAAGGUGGGAUGACAAAUCCAGUUCCAUCUUAACUGGAAGCACAAAUUGAGAGUAUGCAGCUCUUUAUACUCACAUGGGAAAAUAAGACGUAGAAAUCAAACACUUCUGCUGCACACCAAAGGGCAAUUGUCUCAAAGAAAAGCAUUUGUACCGUUGUUUCAGAAGUAUAGUGGGCCGCAGUGGCUCACAUCUGUAAUCCCAACAUUUUGGGAGGACAAAGCAGGUGGAUCACUUGAGGUUAGGAGUUCAAGACCAGCCUGGCCAACAGGAUAAAACCCCCAUCUCUACUAAAAAUACAAAAAUUAGCUGGGAAUGGUGGCAGGUGCCUGUAGUCACAGCUACUCCAGAGACUGAGGAAGGAGAAUCACUUGAACCUGGGAAACAGAGUUUGCAGUGAGCAGAGAUCACACCACUGCACUCCAGCCUGUGUGACAGAGAGAGACAGUCUCAAAAAAAGAAAAAGAGAGAGAGAGAGAAGCAUAGUGAACUUGCUACUUUUUUCAUGAAAUUCCAAUUUAAUUGAAAGAACAAUGACUGAUAAAUUAUGAUUAUUCAGACUUGGAUAUUUGGCAGACAUUUGAAGAUGAAUAAAGUGCGCCUAUCCCUUGAAGGAAAAUAACUGACACUGUUUGUUGCCAGUGAUAAAACUGGAUCUUUGCAGUAAAAAUUGGAAUUUUGGAUAACUUGUAUCUGCUACCAUAAGCUUGAUAGUUUCCUGAUAUGCAACAACUUUUAUGACAAAAUUGGUGAUUUUAACAAAUGUGAUUAUUUAUU